RNAcentral lists this small nucleolar RNA (107 nucleotides) under Pongo abelii (Sumatran orangutan). Its description in RNAcentral is "Small nucleolar RNA U3 (ENSPPYG00000040928.1)". It matches the Rfam family "Small nucleolar RNA U3". Rfam says of the family: Small nucleolar RNAs (snoRNAs) are involved in the processing and modification of rRNA in the nucleolus. There are two main classes of snoRNAs: the box C/D class, and the box H/ACA class. U3 snoRNA is a member of the box C/D class. The record is from Rfam by way of RNAcentral. Lineage: Eukaryota; Metazoa; Chordata; Mammalia; Primates; Hominidae.
AAGACUAUACUUUCAGGGAUCAUUUCUAUAGUUCGUUACUAGAGAAGUUUCUCUGAACGUGUAGAGCACCGUAAAUUAGGAAUUGAUGGGACGUAUCUCAAAAUAAU